This 654-nucleotide ribosomal RNA is filed under the name Triticum aestivum (bread wheat). RNAcentral describes it as "partial small subunit ribosomal RNA". Lineage: Eukaryota; Viridiplantae; Streptophyta; Magnoliopsida; Poales; Poaceae. The record is from RNAcentral.
UUGAGAGAAGUAGUCCCUCUCCCGCUGGCCCAGUCCCCUGACUCAGUUUCAUGGAGUCUGUCUCCUUCGGGAGAAUUCUCUGUGAGUUCUGCUUAUCAGGCCCUCUAUCGCCGUCCUGUCAUUCCAUGGUUUUCCCCUCUCUGGAAGGCGCCAUUGCCCCUAAAGAUCAAGAUUUUUGUUUGGUAGCUUCUUCGCGACCGCCUCCCCUCUGGGACAGAGCUUCUUAAGUGGCACAGACCGGGUGAUGGUACUUGCCCCCUUUGUCACGUCCCGGAAACCGGAGCACAUAUUAUGUUCUCUUGUGUCGCGGCCCGAGCCCUUUGGUCCUUCGUGCACGAGGCCCUUGGACCAAACUGGGAGGCCCUAGAUCUAGCAGAAUUUCUGCAAACUAGGGCCACCCCAAGAGGGGGCAGGCACCGCACGGUCUGGCUUAUUUUUGCAGCACUGACGUGGACCCUUUGGACAACGCGCAAUAAAACUGUGAUUGAGCGGAUCUUCCCGCGACAAGCUUCUGACUCGUUCUUCAAAUUUCUUGCCUUCUUGCAGCACUGGCACCCGCUCUCUAGGCAACGUGACCGCGACCGCCUGGACGCCAUCUUAGGUGCCCUUCUUGCUUCGGCGCGCCGGCUUUCUGCUCGCUCUUCGGCUUUGUAG